Molecule: long non-coding RNA, 863 nt
Organism: Gasterosteus aculeatus aculeatus (three-spined stickleback)
Lineage: Eukaryota; Metazoa; Chordata; Actinopteri; Perciformes; Gasterosteidae
Source: Ensembl
AGCAAUAAGGACGGAUAAAUCCAUUUUUUUUUUUUUUAGAUAAGCUGUGUUACGUGUGGAAGAGGAACCUUUUUUCCCUCGACUCUGCUGCUGCGAUAGUGAGGAGCACCUGCACAUAGAUGAGAGGAGGGCGCCUCCCUGUAAGCAGGCAACAAAGCCAAUCUCCCACAGGACUCUUUCUGCGACGUCCCGCCUCUCUUUGGAGGUGUUGUACAGUCGCACAUCCGUCAGCAGAGGCCGUCCCAGUGUGUCUCGCAGCUCUGCACUGGUCCCAUGAAUAAAUCUGUGCCUUCCUGCGCCCUGAUGCCUCUGAGAAGCGACUUGCACGUCGUCUCACGCGGUAAUGACUCUCUUGUCAUUCAUUGUGCACACAGAAGAUCCCUCAGAGCGGUAAAACAUCUGCUCGGCGUCUGGAGUUUCCGCGGAGGAAAAAUCAGGGACAAUUUGGACCAGAAGCUCCAAGCACUCGAGCAGCAGCACUUCAAAUGGAUUGGAGUUUCAACAGACAUUCUUGCUUUCAGAAGAGCUCUUGGCACUUCCAAUUAUUCCCAUGAAAACUCAAACAUUUUAACUUUAAUCGAAUUGCAAUUCACUGUCAAAUCUGCGUCUCUUCUUUUCAAGCAUAUGGUUCCUCUCAGAACUCAUUUCUAUUCAAAAAGACACAACUGUCUUUAUCUAUGAAGAGGAUAGAAGAAGAUUAAACAAGAUCAGGAAAGCAAAACAAUCUCUUCAAAGCAUUUCCGCCGUAACGUGUGUUGAAUGUAAAGAGAAUACCAAUGAGAUCAAUAGUCAUCGUAUCUACACUGCUUGUUCUAUUACUGGUCUUUUAGUUAAACUUCUAACCGACUACGAAUAAAUAACUG